RNAcentral lists this ribosomal RNA (333 nucleotides) under uncultured bacterium. RNAcentral describes it as "bacterial SSU rRNA". It matches the Rfam family "Bacterial small subunit ribosomal RNA", at positions 1 to 334 of the family's 1533-position model. The record is from RNAcentral.
CUGUACAGUUCAGAGUUUGAUCCUGGCUCAGGAUGAACGCUGGCGGCGUGCCUAAUACAUGCAAGUCGAACGAAGCACUUCGGUGCUUAGUGGCGAACGGGUGAGUAACACGUAGGUAAUCUGCCCUACAGACGAGGAUAACGGUUGGAAACGACCGCUAAUACUGGAUAGUAAGUGAUCUCGCAUGAGGACACUUUUAAAGUUCCGUAUGGAACACUGUAGGAUGAGCCUGCGGCGCAUUAGCUAGUUGGUGAGGUAAUGGCCCACCAAGGCAAUGAUGCGUAGCCGGACUGAGAGGUUGAACGGCCACAUUGGGACUGAGACACGGCCCAG